This 490-nucleotide ribosomal RNA is filed under the name uncultured bacterium. RNAcentral's name for it is "partial 16S ribosomal RNA". It matches the Rfam family "Bacterial small subunit ribosomal RNA", at positions 30 to 507 of the family's 1533-position model. The record is from RNAcentral.
AUUGAACGCUGGCGGCAGGCCUAACACAUGCAAGUCGAACGGUAACAGGAAGAAGCUUGCUUCUUUGCUGACGAGUGGCGGGCGGGUGAGUAAUGUCUGGGAAACUGCCUGAUGGAGGGGGAUAACUACUGGAAACGGUAGCUAAUACCGCAUAACGUCGCAAGACCAAAAAGGGGGACCUUCGGGCCUCUUGCCAUCGGAUGUGCCCAGAUGGGAUUAGCUAGUAGGUGGGGUAACGGCUCACCUAGGCGACGAUCCCUAGCUGGUCUGAGAGGAUGACCAGCCACACUGGAACUGAGACACGGUCCAGACUCCUACGGGAGGCAGCAGUGGGGAAUAUUGCACAAUGGGCGCAAGCCUGAUGCAGCCAUGCCGCGUGUAUGAAGAAGGCCUUCGGGUUGUAAAGUACUUUCAGCGGGGAGGAAGGGAGUAAAGUUAAUACCUUUGCUCAUUGACGUUACCCGCAGAAGAAGCACCGGCUAACUCCGUG